UUUGGUCCGGCAGGGGUCGACGAUUUCGCGGCCUAUCAGCUUGUUGGUGAGGUAACGGCUCACCAAGGCAUCGACGGGUAGCUGGUCUGAGAGGACGAUCAGCCACACUGGGACUGAGACACGGCCCAGACUCCUACGGGAGGCAGCAGUGGGGAAUAUUGCACAAUGGGCGAAAGCCUGAUGCAGCGACGCCGCGUGGGGGAUGACGGCCUUCGGGUUGUAAACCCCUUUCAGCAGGGAAGAAGCGAAAGUGACGGUACCUGCAGAAGAAGCGCCGGCUAGCUACGUGCCAGCAGCCGCGGUAAUACGUAGGGCGCAAGCGUUGUCCGGAAUUAUUGGGCGUAAAGAGCUCGUAGGCGGUUUGUCGCGUCUGCUGUGAAAACCCGAGGCUCAACCUCGGGCCUGCAGUGGGUACGGGCAGACUAGAGUGCGGUAGGGGAGACUGGAAUUCCUGGUGUAGCGGUGGAAUGCGCAGAUAUCAGGAGGAACACCGAUGGCGAAGGCAGGUCUCUGGGCCGCAACUGACGCUGAGGAGCGAAAGCAUGGGGAGCGAACAGGAUUAGAUACCCUGGUAGUCCAUGCCGUAAACGUCGGGCACUAGGUGUGGGGCUCAUUCCACGAGUUCCGUGCCGUAGCAAACGCAUUAAGUGCCCCGCCUGGGGAGUACGGAAU
Molecule: ribosomal RNA, 672 nt
Filed under: uncultured bacterium
Lineage: Bacteria
Description: bacterial SSU rRNA
Rfam family: Bacterial small subunit ribosomal RNA
Source: RNAcentral